ACUUGUUCAAUUGGAUCCCUGACAGGACAUCAGAACUCAUGUUUGAAAAAUACAAAGUCCCUGCAUUAUUUUUAGCCAAGAAUGCUGUACACUCUCUGUCCAUCUCUUGAUUGCAUAUCUGAAUUGAAGUGACACUAGUACAAUUGAAAACCCUAUCAUGGGUUCUAACGUCUUUUGCAUCUCGUCGUGCUACCUCUUUGGUUGUUGAUAGUCCAUCCUUCCAGAGGUUUACAGUGAGGACUUCCAAAACAAUAGAAGACAUUUCUAACUAGGGUAAUGCAGAAUGUUAUUUUCACCAUCUCCAAUGUGUUUGUGUAGUGAUACAUUCUCAUCUAGAGUCUUAACAAGAGUUCUUGCUGGCUGCAGCUCUAAAGAAAAAAUAAGAAUUAACUGAGCAGUUGAAGGAUUUAUCUAGGAACAUUGAGGUAAAUAAGGACUGUCCCUUCCCAUUUUUUCCCUGAAGAAUGAUAUGUUACUUCCAAGACUAAGUUAUUGGUAUACUAUAUUUUUCAAUUUGUACAAGUGGGACUGUGCUUUAGUUACAUUGGAUUGAUGGAUCUUGGGACACAGAUGCAACAACCAAGUGGCUGUCCAC
This is a long non-coding RNA of Magnolia sinica, 595 nucleotides long. RefSeq lists it as uncharacterized. The record is from RefSeq and is a predicted model, not a curated record. The transcript has 3 exons. NCBI's taxonomy places the organism in Eukaryota, Viridiplantae, Streptophyta, Magnoliopsida, Magnoliales, Magnoliaceae.